This 21-nucleotide non-coding RNA is filed under the name Arabidopsis thaliana (thale cress). The record is from RNAcentral. Lineage: Eukaryota; Viridiplantae; Streptophyta; Magnoliopsida; Brassicales; Brassicaceae.
UAAUUAUAAUUCAAGGCGGUC